GAAAUCAUGAGAUUUGUGUGCAUGUUAAGUGCCUACUGUUUUCAGUAUCCUUUUUAAAAUGUAGUCUAUAAUGCUACUGGGAAAAAGAGAACACAUUUGAGAGAGGUUUCUCCUUACAUAUACAAUUUCAGGGUUUGGAACAGACCACCUGGGAGUUCAUAAACUCCUGAGGGACUUGUGAGAUCCAGUCCGCAUGUGAAAUUUCUAAAAUAUACUACAAAACUUUGGUUGCAAAUAUUCCAUGGUCAGCAGUCCCAAAUGGGGACUCAAACAACUGGAAGGAAGGAGCCAAUGAGGACUUCGUGAAAUUCAGCUAGAAUGAAUGCUGAGUCCUGCAUCUGUGAUGGAUGAACCCUAGAACUGACAGAGGCUGGGGAGUAGCUUGGCAGGAAAGGCUUUGAACACCUUGACUUAGGUGGUGGGCUCUUCUCAGCACACCUGAAAGAGGGACAAGAGACAGAGCAGCCUUGUCUGAGCUCACACCUAACCUUGCUUUGAGCAACAAGCUGAACUCAGAAUGUCCUGAUGUCCCUUCCCACCUGAAUUAUCCUGCGAUCUUCUAAAGUGCUGCCUUUAGAAGUCUGAGGUUCCCAUUCCCCAUUUGCCUCCAUCUUGCUCUGACAAGCUGCCUUAGCCUCCCUGAUUUUUCUCUCCUGUUUUAAACCAUGUUCUGUGAAGUGAUUCCUAUUCCAAACCAGUAGAGUCUUGUUAUGGUCAUGUUCUGAUUUAUUUUGCUGCACAAUUAUGAGCUACAGUGAAGCUAUGCAUUUCUAUGAGUAAAGGAGGAAGCUUAUGUGCUUUAUUACUCAUUACAGGCCUUUAAAAUAACCAGCCUUUUACUGUAAAUAUAUUAUUAUUUUUCCUAACAGCAAAGCUAAACUGCAAAUGUGCCACUAGAUGUCCCUUGUCACCCAAGUGAUGGUGGCACAUUCCCAGCGCUAUAUGAUGUAGCAUUGUAAAGAAAACAGUGUUUAAAGUAUUCAGUACGGAGAGAUGUCAUGGCUGCCUCAGAAAGACUUGUGUUAUCCUCAGAAAGGUAUUGUCAUAGGUAGCAAGGAGAUAAUUACUUCUUUUAUCUCUUUUGCUUAAUUCUAAAGAGACCCCCUAGUAAGAAGGUGUUUGUUCUGAAGGGAUAUUUUCACCAGGACCAACCCAAAUUUCCUUGUGAAAAAUGCUCACACUAGGAAUUGCUGGGUUGCUGAGCCUAACACUGUGAUGUUCAACAACUUUUGCAACUCCAGUACAGGCCAGGGUAGCGUGAGAUGGGAUCUGGCAAUCUGUGUCAGUAGAUCUGCUGGAGAAGGGAUAGGUAGCUUCAGGAUUUUCUUGCACCUUUGUAUUGAUUCUGACCUUUGGGGCAAUUUUAUAUUGAAAUGGACCAAUGAAAGAAGCUGCUUCUGUGAAGAGGUGUUGGACAUUAAGCAUUAGUUUAAGGAAAGAAGAAUACAAACAGAGGGAAAAAAUUGGUCUCAAUUUGCUUCAGACAGAAACCCAACAAAUGACAGUUAAAGCCCUUCAUCCUCUUUGUUGGCUGCUGAGAGCAGGAGAUCACCUGCUUCAUGUGAGCUGGAAGAGCUGAGCUGGCCAGUGAGGACGGAAGAAGAUGCAUGCCAGGCUCCUUGAGGAGGUCCUCAGGGCACCCUCUCUCCUUCUGCCCCUCUACUCCACCAGUGCAGCCAAAGCCUGGAAGGAUCACUGUGUCCCUACAAAGGGGGAAAGAGGCUGGAUGUGCCGCUGCGGUGUGUGAUUGCACAGACCACGCUGUUGUGUAUUCAGUCACAUACGCCUGCCUGAAUGACUGAAAUGAAGUAUUUGCUGCUUUCUACUUCAUUUAAACCUGCGGGAGCUGGUAGUGCUCAUCCUCCCCACAUACUGAGGUAUCCACACGUGCCACUCGCCAGCCUGGGGCUUCUUCCCCAAGCAAUGGCUGAGCAAAUCUCUUAAUAACAGAGCAACUACUGGCAGAUUAUUGUGAUCAUAAUUUGGCUGACAUAGCCUUUAUUACUAAUGGCAAUGCUGGAAAUGGAAAACCCAGCUUGAUGCUCAGCUCCCUGCUGGAAAGUAAUAAAAUAAAGAGGAACAAAAUCCUUGAAUGUAUUUGCUACCAAACCUUUGAAAAACACAAAAGUGGAACCCUGCCAAUGCUGUUGCUGGCAGUUUUUCAGACCAGAGCCUCUCUCCAAGGUAGGAUUAGAAGUGGAAAUGCAUUUGUAUCUAUGACAUUAGUAUCGUGUUGUUGUGUAUGAAUGGAAGGCUUGCAAUCAUUUGACAUCUAUUGGUUUCUAUUGCAAUUAUGGUACGCUGCUUUUUUUUUACCUUCAGCAUAUUUUUUAACAAUCUUCCAGUCAUGGAAUAAUUAGAAAACAGCUCCAGUUAUUGUAGAAACAAAAACAAACAAACAAACAUACAAACAAAAAAGUGUUUAUUUUGUCAACUCAAAGAAUGGUCAAAAGAAGAGUUUCAUUUAAAAUGUUCUUAUAAAAAUGGAGGGUGUCGCAGCUUUUCAGUGAGGUCUUUGUUGACAAUGUGGGCUGAGGGAGGUUGGCUUUUACAUAAACUCUUUUGUCCAUCUCUGUGCAGUGGCAGAAUUUGCAGCUAGUUUCUGAUGGCAGAAAUUUCUUGUCUGUGGCAGCUGAGAAUGAUUUGAUAUCAUGUAGAAUAAUAAUAAAAAAAGCAUCUCCAAACUACAGCUCAGACUUUGAAUACUAGAAUGAGCCUUCAGUGCUAAGGAAUGAGCCUCCAGUGCUAAGUAUACAGAGAAAGCUAUUUAAUUUUUUUUUUUUUAAACAUAAAAAGAACCACUCGAUACAAUCAGUUGCAAAUAAAAGAGGAAUGUAAAUGUACUUUUCAAUUAUUUAUUUAUUUCGCUCCCUCUCUUUUUUUCAUGUUAAUGUUUCUUUGGCUCUUGGCUCGUAACCAUCCAGUGAUUAUAAUUAUAAAGAAAACCAACUUUCUACCAUGCUAAUUAAACUGUAUGUCACAUAGGCAUUUGGGGAGAAUUUCCCAUGCUUUCCAGUGUGAAUGGAAGGAAAGAGCAGCGGUGCUCAAUUUAAACUCGAUUUUUUUCUGGUACCUUGCAAAAAGGCUUCAUUGUAUUUUGAUUAAUCUAUGCUUGGUCCACCUCGGAUGUUUCCAUGGAAACAGAUUUUUUUUUUUUUUCUUGAUGGCAACUGUUAGGCUCAGGAAGGUUCCUCUCUACACAAAACCACUCCAGCUCCUAAAGAACUACUUGUUGGAAAUUUAAUGUGCAUAAACAAAACUCCCAAAUUCCUCCUCAGUAUUACGGUAUUGUUGUCGUCAACGCUAAUGAAGAAGUGUUUUCUUAAUGGUAUGGAAUGGUGCCUUUUCACUCCACAAGGAAAUAGAAUAAUGUUAUUAUUCUUUCUACUGCAAGAGAGUGCUUUUCUUGGACCAGGAAAAAUUAGAUUGCAAACCUUUCAAAAUUAAAUUUUAAGAGUUCCAGUGUGUGAAUAUCAUAUAGUUCUAGGCAUAAAUCAUUUGCCUAAAUGGCUGUAAAAAUUUAAUUAAACUUGCCUUGUAGAUUGGCAGCAAUUUGAAUGAAUUAUUCUUCUGCGUCAUAUUAUUUUUUUCAAAGGAAGAAAUAAGCUCUUCAUACACACUGCUAUUACGUUUGAAAUAGGUUUAAAAAGUCAACCAACAGGGGGAGCAUUUGUAUGCUAUUGUUAUUGUAACAAAGUGCUUGGAAACAUGACCAUAUUUUUUUGUCUAAAAUUAUUAGAAUUCUUGACCAUUUUUAAAAAUAGAAAAGGUUUUGGUUCGGAGUGUUUCAGUUUCUGAAAAAUCAGAUCUUGACUUUUGCUGACAGUACAAGAAGCUAUUUUAAAUUAGGUUCAUUGUUUGGAAAAAUUGAAGUUUUAAACAGCAGAUCAAAUAUUAUUUUGGUUGAAAAGCAAUUUUUAUUUAAAAAUACGUGGAGGAAACCAAUUCAAGCACCUCUAAUUGAAACUUGACUUGUUUCUUUUAUUGCAGUGACACCUAUACCAGAUAAGAUAGUGUAGAAAUACAAAAUGUAGAUACGUCUGUUAGAGUAAUGCCCUGACACCAGUGCUUGUAAAAGUCAAGGCACAGAUGAGAGAAAAAGAGCUGUUGAUUUAUUCAUCCUUCUUUUUGUUUCUUCUUUGUUCAUCAUGAGAAGGAAUCUGCCAAAUGGAAAAAGGAAGAUCUCUUUGAGAGCAAAAUAGUUUUCAAGCGUUCUCCACGCACGUACUGCGAAUAGGAAGUAUACAUCGAGCUAGGGAAAAAAACAGGAACCUGUCAGUUCCUCUUUCCCAUGUUCUAUUAGAAUCUGUUCAUACAAUAACAGCACCUUUUUUACCUAAGCGUUCCUCUUGAGCUUUUGGAGCACCGCUACCAUCAGCUGCUCUCACAACAGCACGAGGUGUGAAGGGUCCAUCUCUUUUCACAGUGGCUCUGCAGAUAGCAGUGCUGCCCAUUUGUAGGACACAAGAGGCUGUACAACGCUUUAAGGUAGGUCAGGAAAGUGAAAUAGCUGGGGGCAGUAGGACCUGGCUGCAAUUACUUGAAUGAAUGAGAAUUCCGUACUGAAUAUUGCUCUUGGCUGGAAAAUGUAACAGUGCCCAAAGCAGCCGUGCAGGCAGGAUGUGGUAAGGAUUUACCGUGAGUUUGUCUUUGGAGAACUGUGUUGCUCAAAGCCUUGGGUUUCUUUGAAGCAAGAUUUAUUUCUCCUCUAUAUGUGGUGCUGGUUUGGUAAGUACUGGUUUUGAAUCUCACAAUCAUGCAGUGGAUUCUUGGAAUUAGUCAGGACUUAGUUUUUUGUUGUUGAUGGUGGUGGUGUUUUGUUUGUUGGUUUUUUUUUUUUUCAGAAUCAUUGGAUGGCUUGGGUUGGAAAGGACAUCACAGAGCAUCUAGAUCCAACCCCCAGCCAUGGGCAGCACUGCUAGCAUCAGGCACUACAUCAGGCUGCCCAGGGUCCCAUCCAACCUGGCCUUGAAUGCCUUCAGGGAUGGGACAUCCACAGAUUCUCUGGGUAGCCUGGGCCAGUGCCUCACCAUUCUCUCAGUGAAAAAUUUUCUCCAGACAUCUAACCUAAAUCUCCUCCUCUAGUUUAAAACUGUCCUCCCCUUACGUGAUAGUGAAAGUGUCCUAUGACUAUCAAUCAAUGAUUUUUUCCUCAAUAUUUCUUUCUCUGCUGAUUAAAUUAGUAUGUAACUA
Tympanuchus pallidicinctus (lesser prairie-chicken) is the source of this 5193-nucleotide long non-coding RNA. RefSeq lists it as uncharacterized. The record is from RefSeq and is a predicted model, not a curated record. NCBI's taxonomy places the organism in Eukaryota, Metazoa, Chordata, Aves, Galliformes, Phasianidae. The transcript is spliced from 2 exons.